UGUUUAAAGUUCUUAAUAUCAGAGGGCAAC
Molecule: non-coding RNA, 30 nt
Filed under: Mus musculus (house mouse)
Lineage: Eukaryota; Metazoa; Chordata; Mammalia; Rodentia; Muridae
Source: RNAcentral